Anas platyrhynchos (mallard) is the source of this 2425-nucleotide non-coding RNA. NCBI's taxonomy places the organism in Eukaryota, Metazoa, Chordata, Aves, Anseriformes, Anatidae. The record is from RefSeq and is a predicted model, not a curated record.
GCUCCUGGAGCCCCUCCUGCUCUCCUCCUCCUCCUCAUCCCCCCCCUCUCCCCCAGGUGCCGGCAGGGCUGUUUCUCCCACUUCCUUUCUUUCUUUCUACUGGCUGCCGGGCAGCGCUGUGCCCUCCUCCCUUCCCCAGGCUGUCCCUGAGCCCUUAGCUGGAAAGUAGGGGGGAGGAAUAAGAGAACACGUGGAAUACGUAAAUCUCACCCCUAGGACUCUGGUUUGUUCCAUGCCAGAUAUGCCUGGAAAUACACCAGAUUUAACAGCAAGCUGAUAUAUAAGGAUCAUGUCCCAGCAACUACAAAAGGAAAUCAAGAUAAAUAAUGUGGUAAACAAGCAGCAAGACUGAGAGAUUGAGAAAUUUCUGUUAAUAAAGGACCUAUAUUUAUUUACUCUGUGGAAUAAAAGAAGAAAGUUUUGACAUUUGACAUCAAUGUCAAUCUGACAUCAACUUGUCAAUCUCAUCCACAUCCAGUUUUAUUUUGCACUACUCAUCCUAUGUAUUUUUUGACUGAAAAAAAAAGAAUGAUUGCUAUGCAUUUAGGCCAGAAACACAGGAAAAAUGUCAUAAACACAGUCAUAGCAGUAAGGCAGAAAACAACAAGGAAACAAUCAAUAGCAAAGGUUCAGUAAAACUGUUAUAAACCAGAUGUUGUGUCAUUGCUCACAUAAGGUUUCAGGCUUUUGAGUGACAGGCACUCCACAGCAAACUGGCAGCAUUAAUCAAUAAGUACAGUAGGUAAGAUUGACCAAUCUGUUCCUACUGUGGAGUUAUUGCCAUGUUAUUUUAUUCAAAACCCAAACAAAUAUUUUCAUUUGAAGAGGAAUUUUGUGUCUCUUGUCCAAGGUAUUGUGGUCUCAGUGUUGAUACUUUAAACAAUAUUGGUCAGUUCUCAAUUAACAUAAAAUAUUGGUAUUUUUAACUCUUUCUUCAAUAACAGAAAGCACUGGAAAUCUUACUGAAACAAGGGAAUAAGGCUUCUAUUAGUAAUUUUCAAGGUGUCUCUAAAUCACUAAGUCCUUGUGUAUUUUCUGUCCUGUUUUUAAACACUAGUCAAAGUAUGAUUGACAAUAAGUUGCAGUAAAUGGCACCAAUGUUCUCUCUGUAAUUUAAUAGUUAAGUUUGUUAAAGGUAAGGUUCAGCGAUACCUGAAGCUAAAAGAAAUUGGAGUGGGAUUUAGCUCAAAAUUCAGACAAAGACAGUUGGAUGUCUGAGUUCAAUGUAACCUGCAGUGGUAUUCAGCUGUCACCUACGGACUCACGUUUUAGAGUGGUUGUACUCUCAAAUCUGUAUCAUUUGCUGUCUUCAGUGUUGCAUACGCAUAAAAUUUUGCACUUCUUUGUUUUUUAAAAUGAUUUCCUGGAAUUUCUGAGAUAACUGAGCUCUAGUUUGUACCGGUGUGUUUUUAUUUGGGGGUUUAAAUGUUGUUUUCAAUCAAGCCUGUAAUACUUACAUCACAUCCACACCAGGGAGCAUGUUUUAGUCUGUGUCUUUCAUAGAAUAUUGGCUUUUUCUUAAAAGACAAAAGCAAAUAUGUUUUACAGUAAGUCCAUCUGUAUAUAGAUGGAUAAAAAGCUCAUAAACAAAUGGCUCUCUGCCAGUGAAACCACUAAAUUUCACAGAGGUUUAAUCAGGAUCUCCUGGAGGGAGAUGGAUUCUAUAGACCUUUUUUUUAAAAAAUGAAAAGAAUUUCAUAAAAACAUUAGGCUAAAACAUUUCUCUGGCUAAGGUAAAGAAUUCUGUGUGUUUACCGGAACUGGUACUCUAUAAAAAAGCUUUGCAGCUGCUAUUAGGUUCAAUUUUAUUCCUCAUAUGUGCUGGAGCCCUUUCUCAACCUAAGCACUUCUUUGGGCCCAGCAGCCUGGGUGUUUAUCGGCAAUCAUCAGAAAACAAGACAGUCUUUUUAACACAUCAUAAUGAUAAUGCUAUAAUGUAUUCCUAAUAGGUUACGUUUGCUCUGGUACAAAUCAGAGGGCAGAGAACAGGUAGUUUCUGUAGCCAUGAGGGCUGGGAAUGAGAACAAAAGCGUACAGGUAAUUUGAUGAGCAUUUUACCAUUGCUCUCAAAAUCUUGUCACUUUGAGGAUUUGUGAAAUUCCAUUGUAUGUGGGAAGUUUGUCAAGAACAGCUCUUUGUAACAUGACUUCUUUUAAUAGUGUAUUCAAUGUAAUAUUGUGCAUAUCAUCCAUCUUGAAAUGGGUAAACAACCUAUUGAAUUUUCAUUAGGAGACAGCAUGCAAAGACUUACCCAAAUUGUGUGUAUCUCACAGUAGUAACUCAUGCAUUCAGUUUUUCUGUAAUAUUGACAUUAAGACCCCAGAAAUGCUGGUAACCUUAUAAUGUUGUGUAAUCAGUAGCUUUCUCUUACACUCUGAAUUAAGUAUAUUACUGGUGGAGUUAUGAAUAUUUAAAUAUACUUUAU